AUCCGACUCCCUCCGUUCGGAAUUACUUGUCUCGAAAAUGGAUGUAUCUAGAACUAAAAUACAUCUAGAUACAUCCAUUUCUAUGACAAGUAAUUCCGAACGGAGGGAGUAUGAG
Molecule: non-coding RNA, 115 nt
Organism: Triticum aestivum (bread wheat)
Lineage: Eukaryota; Viridiplantae; Streptophyta; Magnoliopsida; Poales; Poaceae
Source: Rfam